CCUACGGGUGGCAGCAGUGAGGAAUAUUGGUCAAUGGCCGCAGGGCUGAACCAGCCAAGUCGCGUGAGGGAGGACGGUCCUAUGGAUUGUAAACCUCUUUUGUCAGGGAGCAAAGGGCGGCACGUGUGGGGUUUUGCGAGUACCUGAAGAAAAAGCAUCGGCUAACUCCGUGCCAGCAGCCGCGGUAAUACGGAGGAGGCGAGCGUUAUCCGGAUUUAUUGGGGUUAACGGGGGCGCAGGCGGAAUGUCAAGUCAGCGGUAAAAUUUCGGGGCUCAACCCCGUCGUGCCGUUGAAACUGGCGUUCUUGAGUGAGCGAGAAGUAUGCGGCAUGCGUGGUGUAGCGGUGAACUGCAUCGAUCUCACGCAGAACUCCGAUUGCGAAGGCAGCAUACCGGCGCUCAACUGACGCUCAUGCACGACCGCGUGGGUAUCGAACAGGAUUAGCUACCCUUGUAGUC
Molecule: ribosomal RNA, 459 nt
Filed under: uncultured bacterium
Lineage: Bacteria
Description: partial 16S ribosomal RNA
Rfam family: Bacterial small subunit ribosomal RNA
Source: RNAcentral